AACAUUUUUGGCCGUAACAAGCCUUAAACCUUAUCUAUACGUACCUUCACAUUCUCCUUCGGCGGGGUAACACCCGCCGUCGGAACAACAAACCCUCUUUGCAUCUAGUAUUCUACCAGUUCUGAUAAAAAUUCAAUCGUUA
This 142-nucleotide unclassified non-coding RNA is filed under the name uncultured Munkovalsaria. Its description in RNAcentral is "sequence contains ITS1". Lineage: Eukaryota; Fungi; Ascomycota; Dothideomycetes; Pleosporales; Dacampiaceae. The record is from RNAcentral.